RNAcentral lists this small RNA (704 nucleotides) under Pongo abelii (Sumatran orangutan). Its description in RNAcentral is "retained intron". Lineage: Eukaryota; Metazoa; Chordata; Mammalia; Primates; Hominidae. The record is from RNAcentral.
CAAGAAGAAAAUCUUCAUGGGCCUCAUCCCCUACGACCAGAGUGGCUUCGUCAGUGCCAUCCGGCAGGUCAUCACCACCCGCAAGCAGGCAGUGGGACCUGGUGGUGUCAACUCAGGCCCAGUCCAGAUCGUCAACAACAAGUUUCUGGCAUGGAGUGGCGUCAUGGAGUGGCAGGAGCCCAGGCCUGAGCCCAACAGUCGGUCCAAGAGGUGGCUGCCAUCCCACGUCUACGUGAACCAGGGGGAGAUCCUGUGAGUGCUGGGCUAGGGGGUGGAGGCAGCAUCCAGGGGAGCUGGGGCUUCCUGACCCUCGUCCCCUUGUGCCCCACAGGAGGACCGAGCAGUGGCCAAGGAAGCUGUACAUGCAGCUCAUCCCACAGCAGCUGCUGACCACCCUGGUGCCGCUGUUCCGGAACUCACGCCUGGUCCAGUUCCACUUCACCAAGGACCUGGAGACACUGAAGAGCCUGUGCCGGAUCAUGGACAACGGCUUCGUGAGUGGUGCCAGCAGAUGCUGGGGAGGGGCCGGCCAGGGCAGAGCGAGCCAGGACCGCUCACAGGGGCGGACAUGGGAGAGGAACAGAGCACCAUGUCCCGGACCAGCUGGGGAGAGAGGGCGGCUAGUGUGGGCGUGACUUCUGGGGGCUCUCUGCUGUCCCCACGGCACUGGACGGGGCACUGACCCUGGUUCUGCAGGGGCCUGC